This is a long non-coding RNA of Bombus pascuorum, 981 nucleotides long. RefSeq lists it as uncharacterized. The record is from RefSeq and is a predicted model, not a curated record. The transcript is spliced from 3 exons. NCBI's taxonomy places the organism in Eukaryota, Metazoa, Arthropoda, Insecta, Hymenoptera, Apidae.
AUUAAACAAUUGAGAUGGUAAAUAAUGUGUGCUAGAAGAGAAGAAGAAGAAGGAUAUAAAUGUAUUGAAUUAGUUAAAUUAAAGACUACAUUGAUAUUUUUUAAUCAGAACAGAAGUGGCGCUUACAAAUUUUGGUUCUAUGUAUUUUAUGAUAGCUCUAACAGUUGAAAUGCAUUAUUCUAUCACUUAUACAGUUAGUAUAGAAUUUAUAAAAUUAAAAUUAAAAUUUUCUAAACUAAUCAACUUUUAUUUUAUUUAGUAUUUCUUUUAUAGAAAAUAAGAAAAACGCAUCGAUUGGUCUAUAAUUAAAUAUACUUAAAUAUACUAUACUAUACUAUACAGUUCGAUUUAAAGAGAUAAAAAUGACCUUAAAUAUUUGAAAUAUCUUCACUUCCGGGUCAGCAACGUGUACCACGUGAUGCAUGAUUCAAAACCAUUUAAUCUUGUGAUAUCUUUAUCUGUUACUGUUUAAAAAGUAUGACUUCAUCCAGCAACAAGAAAUGCUAUAGCAUACGUGACAAUUUUUAUAACAAAUAUGACAUCAAUUAAAACAUAUUUAAUCCAGUAAGAACUAAGUAGGAAGAUAAUUCGUAGAAGUUGCAUAAGCAAUGUAGUAUUAUUGGAAAACGCAAAUAAAGUAAGUUCUUUUGUCAAGUUGUAGGAAAUGGAUGUAGGAAGAAAUAGUAAUUGAAAAAAAUAUUAUCUCAAUUCCUUGGGAUUCUUUUUUAAUAUAAUGUUAAAACACAAAAUUGGCUAAUAUAAAUUAACUGAAGAAUGUUGUAAAUAAAAUGUUGCGUCAAUGCAACGUUGUUCCUUAACGGAUUAAUGGAUACUAAAACACGGUAAUAAUAUAACAUGUUGAUAUUUUACGAUGUACAAGUAAUAUCGAUGAGGACGAGUUACUUCACACUAUGAGAUGUGAGACGUUCGCAGUGUAUGCAGCGGGCGAUAAUCUGAUAUCAUCUGAACGUGGUAUAGGUC